RNAcentral lists this ribosomal RNA (340 nucleotides) under uncultured bacterium. Its description in RNAcentral is "bacterial SSU rRNA". It matches the Rfam family "Bacterial small subunit ribosomal RNA", at positions 330 to 684 of the family's 1533-position model. The record is from RNAcentral.
AAAACAGCCCUACGGGAGGCAGCAGUCGAGAAUUUUUCACAAUGGGGGAAACCCUGAUGGAGCGACGCCGCGUGGAGGAUGAAGGCCCUUUGGUCGUAAACUCCUGUCAUGCGAGAACAAGAAAGUGAUAGUAUCGCAAGAGGAAGAGGCGGCUAACUCUGUGCCAGCAGCCGCGGUAAUACAGAGGCCUCAAGCGUUGUUCGGAUUCAUUGGGCGUAAAGGGUGCGUAGGUGGCUUGUUAAGUUGAAGGUGAAAUCUCGGAGCUCAACUCCGAAACUGCCUUCAAUACUGGCGAGCUCGAGGACUGUAGAGGAGAAUGGAAUUCACGGUGUAGCAGUGA